Molecule: long non-coding RNA, 829 nt
Filed under: Anser brachyrhynchus (Pink-footed goose)
Lineage: Eukaryota; Metazoa; Chordata; Aves; Anseriformes; Anatidae
Description: lncRNA (ENSABRG00000009840.1)
Source: RNAcentral
GGUCAGUCUCUUUUAUAAAACCUGUUAAAAGGCUACUACUUUGGCUGCUGCUGUGGCUUUUUUUUUUUUAAUCCUAAUAAUAAAGUAUUAUGAAGACAUCUUCUAUUAUGAAUUGCAGUAUUAGUGUGAUCAUGGACUUGUCUGUGCUUAUCCUGACAAGACACUAGACACUAACUCUGGUAAAAGGGGAACUCUACGAUUUUCCUUGAAAAAGAACAACAUUGGAUUCUUCACUGGGUACACUAAGAGUGAGAGAAAAGAGGACAUCUUGAAGGAUCUGAUCCUGAGAAGUCCUCCCUUCUUGAAGUUAAGUGACUUCCUCUGUAAAACAGGUCUGCUUGCUAUCUUUAGAAUAUCUCUAUCCAAGCUAGAGGAAUAAGGACAAAUCUGACAUCACAGACCAGACCACAGGAGGUGCUUGAGGCCUCUCUGAUCUUCUGACGCUAGCCAACACUGAAGAACUGUACACAACAGAACGCAAAGGUUGUACGGAAUACAGAACUACAGAACAGAGCUCUUGAGCUCAUCCUCCACAGCGUACAUAUUUCCCUUGCCUAUACGUGCUACUGCGACGAAGCACACCUCCUUUUUCAUAAUACCAGGCCUUUAUAGGUAAAACUUAAGGAACAAGGAAUUUGAUCUCUCAUAAGAAAGCAUGCAAACAUUGCAGCUCCAUCUUUGAUUGCUAGAAUAAGAAUGAGAUAAAGCUAGCAUGAAAUUAACAUUGAAUAAUGCAUUGCACUGCAUUGUUUUGACUAAUAAUAUUAAUAUUUUGGUCAUUAUUAUUAUUAAUAAUAAAUAGUAAUUACAAAUGUUGAUAUUUGGAUUA